RNAcentral lists this ribosomal RNA (253 nucleotides) under uncultured bacterium. RNAcentral describes it as "partial 16S ribosomal RNA". It matches the Rfam family "Bacterial small subunit ribosomal RNA", at positions 524 to 776 of the family's 1533-position model. The record is from RNAcentral.
UACGUAGGGUGCGAGCGUUGUCCGGAAUUAUUGGGCGUAAAGGGCUCGUAGGCGGUUUGUCACGUCGGGAGUGAAAACUCAGGGCUUAACCCUGAGCCUGCUUCCGAUACGGGCAGACUAGAGGUAUGCAGGGGAGAACGGAAUUCCUGGUGUAGCGGUGAAAUGCGCAGAUAUCAGGAGGAACACCGGUGGCGAAGGCGGGAUCCUGGGCCAGUACUGACGCUGAGGAGCGAAAGCGUGGGGAGCAAACAGG